This 253-nucleotide ribosomal RNA is filed under the name uncultured bacterium. RNAcentral describes it as "partial 16S ribosomal RNA". It matches the Rfam family "Bacterial small subunit ribosomal RNA", at positions 103 to 354 of the family's 1533-position model. The record is from RNAcentral.
CGGGUGAGUAACGCGUGGAUAACCUGCCUCAUACAGGGGGAUAACAGUUAGAAAUGACUGCUAAUACCGCAUAAGCACACGGGAGCGCAUGGCUUCCGGGUGAAAAGCUCCGGCGGUAUGAGAUGGAUCCGCGUCUGAUUAGCUGGUUGGCGGGGUAACGGCCCACCAAGGCGACGAUCAGUAGCCGACCUGGAGAGGGUGGCCGGCCACAUUGGGACUGAGACACGGCCCAAACUCCUACGGGAGGCAGCAG